AAAGAAACUAACUAGGAUUCCCUUAGUAACGGCGAGUGAACUGGGAAGAGCUCAAAUUUUAAAUCACUUUGGUGAAUUGUAAUUUGAAGAAAGUGCUUUUGACUUUUCGGUUUAUUCUAAAUCCUUUGGGAUGAGGUAUCAUAGAGGGUGAGAAUCCCGUUCAUGAUUAAACCUUGAAAAUGCACUAGAUUCACUUUCUAAGAGUCGAGUUGUUUGGGAUUGCAGCUCAAAAUGGGUGGUAAAUUUCACCUAAGGCUAAAUAUAUGCAAGAGACCGAUAGCGAACAAGUACCGUGAGGGAAAGAUGAAAAGAACUUUGAAAAGAGAGUUAAACAGUACGUGAAAUUGUUGAAAGGGAAACGAUUAAAGUCAGUCAUGCCUGUGAGUAAUCAACUUGGUGGUUUUACUUCCUUGUGUACUUUCUCACUUGGCAGGUUAACAUCAAUUUUGGUUGUCAUCAAAUAAUUGGGGAAAUGUGGCUUCUCUUCGGAAAAGUGUUUAUAGUCCCUGAUUAAUGUGGUAACCGGGAUUGAGGAUUGCAGUGAAUGCCUUUUUGGCUAGUCACCUAUCUUCUGACUAUCGUCUUGCUUUUUUCAGCUUGCUGAUGAUUGUGAGAUUUGGUGGUUUAGAUGUUAGAGUGUACAUAAAUUCACUAAGGAUGUU
Molecule: ribosomal RNA, 662 nt
Filed under: Acaulospora colliculosa
Lineage: Eukaryota; Fungi; Glomeromycota; Glomeromycetes; Diversisporales; Acaulosporaceae
Description: eukaryotic LSU rRNA
Rfam family: Eukaryotic large subunit ribosomal RNA
Source: RNAcentral